Non-coding RNA from Lupinus angustifolius (narrow-leaved blue lupine), 90 nucleotides. The record is from Rfam. NCBI's taxonomy places the organism in Eukaryota, Viridiplantae, Streptophyta, Magnoliopsida, Fabales, Fabaceae.
CCGACCUUAGCUCAGUUGGUAGAGCGGAGGACUGUAGUUAUAAUAAAAGCUGGUAUCCUUAGGUCGCUGGUUCGAAUCCGGCAGGUCGGA